This is a long non-coding RNA of Etheostoma spectabile (orangethroat darter), 529 nucleotides long. RefSeq lists it as uncharacterized. Lineage: Eukaryota; Metazoa; Chordata; Actinopteri; Perciformes; Percidae. The record is from RefSeq and is a predicted model, not a curated record. The transcript is spliced from 4 exons.
UUAAUACUUAUACAACACACCUUAUACUGCUGUGAACAAUGCCAGUAAUACCACUCUUCCUGGUAGUCACAUUAACAAUGCAUUGAGCAACACAUCAUAACACAAAGCACAUUCAAUUGGUGAACAAGGAAAUAAAGAGAUGGUUUGAUAUUCUGAGUUGCAUGUGUUUUUUUUCAUAGGUUUUAUAACCCUAUCAUGGAAGGUAAAAGACAAUUAUGAAACUGUGUCAUUAAAUGUAAUGUAAUAGACAACUAGGUGCAAAGAAAUAACUUUUCCCCAUGUGGCAUAGUAGCCAGUAAACAACCAGAGCCAACUAAAAUUCAAAUCAUCAAGGUAAAUAAGCAGACACAAUGAGUUACACACAAUGACAAAUGAUAUAUAUUAACAACAAAACCAUGUUUACCUCCAUCAGAACACACACAGGAAACUCAAACUCAGACAGUCACUCUCAUGCUUCUUCAUCAUCUAAAUGAGCACCAGCACACAUACUUUAUAGAAUCCUGAAUUUUACAUGCCAUGUUAAAGUAAA